UACGCACGCUGGCGGCGUGCUUAACACAUGCAAGUCGAACGGAAAGGCCCUGCUUUUGUGGGGUGCUCGAGUGGCGAACGGGUGAGUAACACGUGAGUAACCUGCCCUUGACUUUGGGAUAACUUCAGGAAACUGGGGCUAAUACCGGAUAGGAGCUCCUGCUGCAUGGUGGGGGUUGGAAAGUUUCGGCGGUUGGGGAUGGACUCGCGGCUUAUCAGCUUGUUGGUGGGGUAGUGGCUUACCAAGGCUUUGACGGGUAGCCGGCCUGAUAGGGUGACCGGCCACAUUGGGACUGAGAUACGGCCCAGACUCCUACGGGAGGCAGCAGUGGGGAAUAUUGCACAAUGGGCGGAAGCCUGAUGCAGCAACGCCGCGUGCGGGAUGACGGCCUUCGGUUUGUAAACCGCUUUCGCCUGUGACGAAGCGUGAGUGACGGUAAUGGGUAAAGAAGCACCGGCUAACUACGUG
This 468-nucleotide ribosomal RNA is filed under the name uncultured bacterium. Its description in RNAcentral is "partial 16S ribosomal RNA". It matches the Rfam family "Bacterial small subunit ribosomal RNA", at positions 29 to 507 of the family's 1533-position model. The record is from RNAcentral.